CGGGUCGGACGGGUAAGUGGUAAUUGGGGAUUCGUCUCCGAUGCGGGGGAUAACUACUGGAAACGGUAGCUAAUACCGCAUAAUGUCUGCGGACCAAAGCGGGGGACCUCCGGGCCUCGCGCCAUCAGAUGAACCCAUAUGGGAUUAGCUAGUAGGUAAGGUAACGGCUUACCUAGGCGACGAUCCCUAGCUGGUCUGAGAGGAUGAUCAGCCACACUGGGACUGAGACACGGCCCAG
RNAcentral lists this ribosomal RNA (238 nucleotides) under uncultured bacterium. RNAcentral's name for it is "partial 16S ribosomal RNA". It matches the Rfam family "Bacterial small subunit ribosomal RNA", at positions 94 to 334 of the family's 1533-position model. The record is from RNAcentral.